UCCUGGAACUUCAUUUGUAUUUGAAUGUAUUCUUUUGGUUUUGAUCUUUUUGAGGUUCCCAGUGAUGCUUUAACCAUGCUAAUACUGAAAUUAUCUGACGAGCAAUAUAUUUUUACUGAGGGAACCAUUUACCUAGUUCUGCUGUUUUGACUUCCAGAAACAUUGAAUUUUUCAUUUUAUUUGUUCCCUUUUCAAAUUUGUGCAAUUGCAUCCUGUUCUGAAUUUUGCGAUGAUGAUACACUUUACCCAGCUCAUUAUGAGACUUCCCUCUGUGGGUUGUCGUGAUAUGUACUUUUUUCCAUUGUAUCUGAGCUCUUGACAUGUUGGCAUAAGGUAUUACUCUCAUUGUAAAUGUUUUUUGACUUUCAAUGAUGAUACACUAUAAUCCCAGCUCUAUGAGUACUUCCCUCUGUGGGUUGUCUGAUCUCAACUAAACGUUAUAGUUCUAUCUGAGCAAACUACCUGUUGUUUACCUUUUUACUUCAGAACAGUAACUAAUUUGUUUCUAUUAUUUUUGCUUAUGCAAAUGUUUAGUGCUAGCAUUUUGUCUUGAUUAUUUUUGCAAUGAUGAUACUAUUACCCAGCUCAUUAUGAGACCUCCCUUUGUGGGUAGUCGUGAUAUGAACUUCUCUUUUGUAUCUGAGCAUUCUCAAAAUUCUUUUUUAUGAUCUCUUCAUUGCAUUUCAUUAUUGCCUAUUGUUUUGACUUGCAAUGAUGAUACACUAUAAUCCCAGCUCUAUGAAUACUUCCCUCUGUGGGUUGUUUGAUCUCAUCUCAAUUAAACGUUAUAGUUCUAUCUGAGCAUACUAUCUGCUAUUUUCUGCUUUACUUGAAAAGGGCAUCGAAUUCUUUUUGUAUUCUUUCUUAUGCAAAUGUUUAGUGCUAGCAUUUUGUCUUGAUUAUUUUUGCAAUGAUGAUACUAUUACCCAGCUCAUUAUGAAACUUCCCUUUGUGGGGAGUCAUGAUAUGAACUUCUCUUUUGUAUCUGAGCCCACUCACAUUUUUCUAAUUAUUAUUUCAUUACAACCUAUUAUCUUUGGCAAAAUAAGCACAGCUAGAUUGUUACUACUGCAGGGAUGAUACACUAUAAUCCCAGCUCUAUGAAAACUUCCCUCUGUUGGUCCUUUGUGAUAUGAAUCAAGCGUUAUAGUUAUAUCUGAGCAGACUAGUUUGAGAACAUGAU
This 1183-nucleotide long non-coding RNA is filed under the name Triticum aestivum (bread wheat). The record is from RNAcentral. Lineage: Eukaryota; Viridiplantae; Streptophyta; Magnoliopsida; Poales; Poaceae.